GCGAGUGAAGCGGGAAAAGCUCAAAUUUAAAAUCUGGCGGCCUCUGGCUGUCCGAGUUGUAAACUAGAGAAGUGUUAUCCGUGCUGGACCAUGUAAAAGUCUCCUGGAACGGAGCGUCAUAGAGGGUGAGAAUCCCGUCUUUGACAUGGACUACCAGUGCAUUGUGAUAUGCUCUCAAAGAGUCGAGUUGUUUGGGAAUGCAGCUCAAAAUGGGUGGUAAAUUCCAUCUAAAGCUAAAUAUUGGCGAGAGACCGAUAGCGAACAAGUACCGUGAGGGAAAGAUGAAAAGAACUUUGGAAAGAGAGUUAAACAGUACGUGAAAUUGUUGAAAGGGAAACGCUUGAAGUCAGUCACAUUGGCUGGAGAUCAACCUUGCUUUUGGAAGGUGUACUCUCUGGUUGAUGGGUCAGCAUCAAUUUUGACCAUUGGAAAAAGGUUAGGGGAAUGUGGCAUCCUUGGAUGUGUUAUAGCCCUUGAUUGUAUACAGUGGUUGGGAUUGAGGAACUCAGCACGCCGCAAGGCCGGGUUUUACCACGUUCGUGCUUAGGAUGCUGGCAUAAUGGCUUUAAUCGACCCGUCUUGAAACACGGACCAAGGAGUCUAACAUGCCUGCGAGUGUUUGGGUGGAAAACCCAUGCGCGUAAUGAAAGUGAUAGUUGAGAUCUCUGUCAUGGAGAGCACCGACGCCCGGACCAGACCUUUUGUGACGGAUCCGCGGUAGAGCAUGUAUGUUGGGACCCGAAAGAUGGUGAACUAUGCCUGAAUA
Molecule: ribosomal RNA, 766 nt
Filed under: Pluteus hongoi
Lineage: Eukaryota; Fungi; Basidiomycota; Agaricomycetes; Agaricales; Pluteaceae
Description: eukaryotic LSU rRNA
Rfam family: Eukaryotic large subunit ribosomal RNA
Source: RNAcentral